Molecule: long non-coding RNA, 1392 nt
Organism: Bos taurus (domestic cattle)
Lineage: Eukaryota; Metazoa; Chordata; Mammalia; Artiodactyla; Bovidae
Source: Ensembl
GGUAAGAACAGGGAAGAUUGUAUGGGCAAAGCCUGGGCCAGCACCUCACUGAGGAGCCAGGCUCCCUUGAAGCCAGCACAGCUACAAUACCACUCAGUUGUAGCAUCACAGCUUGUGUCCCUGCCAGGAGUGGGCACGGGCUACCCCUGUUGGCACCACUGUCUGUGCUGCCCUUGGGAACUGGAUCUUGCUGCCUUUGCUUGCUACCCUCGGAAGGAAUGCUCUGCUCUCUUUCCUUUGCGUCAUUAGCUUCUGAUUCAAAAACCUGAGCAGAUGCAUCUGCCAUGCCUGGUGCUCAAGAAUAUUUGUUGAGUGAAUCGUUUAGAAAAAAUGCAAAUCUGAGGACUUCCCUGGUGGUCCAGUGGUUAAGAAUCUGCCUGCCGAUGUAGAGGACACGACCCGCACGCUGCCACUAUUCAGUCUGUGCUCUAGAACCUGGAGCUGCAGCUACUGACUGUCGUACCCUCGAGGCUGUGCUCCGCAGCAAGACACUGCAGUGAGAAGCGCUGUACAUCAAAACUGGAGAAAGCGGGCGUGCAACAACGAAGACCCAGCGCAGCCAUAAAGAAAUAGAUAAAAUGCAAAUCAGAUCAUGUCUCUCAGCUUAAAAUGUUCCAUUAACUUUAGGAUGAAAACGAAAAUGGUCAACGCAGAUAGAAGGUCCUGAGGGCUGUGUCCCCCCCAACCUCGCAGCCUUACCUGGAGCCACUCUCGCCCUGGCUCUCUACUUGUCCAGCUCACAGUGACUUUCUGGUCACUCUUCUACUAACCUCCUCUCUCAGGGCUUUAUCACUUGCUUUUCCUUGACCUGCAAGGCUGGACACUUUUUCUCAGCCUUGGUUUUGGCUCAGUCAUGACUGUUCUGAUAACCUAGUAUUGUUACAUGGCCCCUGGGUAAGGAGGGAAACACCUCUCUGGCUUGUUUAGGAAUGGAUUUGUUCCAUUCUGGCCCAGCAAGACCAGCCCUAAGAGAAGGGACCUGUCUGGUGUCUUCACUCUCCUGGUGGUAAUGCCAGGCUAGGUGAUACUUGGGGAUGUGGGCCUGACCUCUGCAGGGGCCUCUGAAGCUCCUUGUCCAGUCCAGCUUGCCUUCUCAUGGAGGAGGCGAGCUCUGACUCCAGGCCAGAGAUUGAUCUUGGCAAUGGGAUUGUCUGACGGCAACUGCACCCUUCAUUUCCCCUUGGUUCAUAUAUUCUGAGUGCCAGCAGGCCUGGCUCAGAGCCAUCUUGGCAAAGAGGAAUUUUUACAACCUGAUUGAUUUAACUUUGCUUUCUUCCCAAAUUCCUAUCCUUAAGCAGAAAUAGUCUCCAAAUAGCUUUUGUACCAAGGAUGAUAUGAUUGGGAAAGCAAGCAGGGGAAGAUAGUGAUCACAAGGACACCUAAGCUGUAAAU